GAUGAAGAAACGUAGCGAAAUGCGAUAAGUAGUGUGAAUUGCAGAAUUCAGUGAAUCAUCGAAUCUUUGAACGCACAUUGCGCCCCUUGGUAUUCCAUGGGGCAUGCCUGUUCGAGCGUCAUUUGUACCUUCAAGCUCUGCUUGGUGUUGGGUGUUUGUCUCGCCUCUGCGUGUAGACUCGCCUCAAAACAAUUGGCAGCCGGCGUAUUGAUUUCGGAGCGCAGUACAUCUCGCGCUUUGCACUCAUAACGACGACGUCCAAAAGUACAUUUUUACACUCUUGACCUCGGAUCAGGUAGGGAUACCCGCUGAACUUAAGCAUAUCAAUAAGCGGAGGA
This 338-nucleotide unclassified non-coding RNA is filed under the name soil metagenome. RNAcentral's name for it is "partial contains 5.8S ribosomal RNA, internal transcribed spacer 2, and large subunit ribosomal RNA". The stretch from base 1 to 121 matches the Rfam family "5.8S ribosomal RNA", at positions 35 to 154 of the family's 154-position model. The record is from RNAcentral.